CAAGUCGAACGAUGAAGCCCAGCUUGCUGGGUGGAUUAGUGGCGAACGGGUGAGUAACACGUGAGUAACCUGCCCUUAACUCUGGGAUAAGCCUGGGAAACUGGGUCUAAUACCGGAUAGGAGCGCCUACCGCAUGGUGGGUGUUGGAAAGAUUUAUCGGUUUUGGAUGGACUCGCGGCCUAUCAGCUUGUUGGUGAGGUAAUGGCUCACCAAGGCGACGACGGGUAGCCGGCCUGAGAGGGUGACCGGCCACACUGGGACUGAGACACGGCCCAGACUCCUACGGGAGGCAGCAGUGGGGAAUAUUGCACAAUGGGCGCAAGCCUGAUGCAGCGACGCCGCGUGAGGGAUGACGGCCUUCGGGUUGUAAACCUCUUUCAGUAGGGAAGAAGCGAAAGUGACGGUACCUGCAGAAGAAGCACCGGCUAACUACGUGCCAGCAGCCGCGGUAAUACGUAGGGUGCGAGCGUUAUCCGGAAUUAUUGGGCGUAAAGAGCUCGUAGGCGGUUUGUCGCGUCUGUCGUGAAAGUCCGGGGCUUAACCCCGGAUCUGCGGUGGGUACGGGCAGACUAGAGUGCAGUAGGGGAGACUGGAAAUUCCUGGUGUAGCGGUGGAAUGCGCAGAUAUCAGGAGGAACACCGAUGGCGAAGGCAGGUCUCUGGGCUGUAACUGACGCUGAGGAGCGAAAGCAUGGGGAGCGAACAGGAUUAGAUACCCUGGUAGUCCAUGCCGUAAACGUUGGG
The sequence is a ribosomal RNA, 743 nucleotides long. It matches the Rfam family "Bacterial small subunit ribosomal RNA", at positions 58 to 813 of the family's 1533-position model.